CGCCUGGCGGAGGCAGAGGCAAAGGCGAGGUCACGGGUUCGACGAUGCGUGGGUCUUCUUCUCCUCAGCACACGACGGAGGCGAGAUCUGGCUACACUUUCCUAAUUGCAAAUGCUGCAAGGGUGAGAGCCUUCUUUGGAUGCCCAGUUGAUGAACGCAAGGACUUUCUGCUGCAGAUGAUGUAUAGUCCUCAGGACUGUUGAGGUACUUUGUAAAAUUGCAGAUAAGUGAGUCUAGGCUUCAAAAGUGAUGUUAAUUUAACAUACCAUAGUUGCAGCAAGAAUAAAAAAUAAUAAUAAUUCAGUGUAACAAACAUUUAUAGUUUUUUCAGAUGACUGUGUUCGGUUGUUUUGAUUAUCAAGUUAAUAGAUAGAAUCAUUUUCUA
This is a long non-coding RNA of Humulus lupulus (European hop), 385 nucleotides long. RefSeq lists it as uncharacterized. The transcript has 2 exons. NCBI's taxonomy places the organism in Eukaryota, Viridiplantae, Streptophyta, Magnoliopsida, Rosales, Cannabaceae. The record is from RefSeq and is a predicted model, not a curated record.